AUACGGAGGGUGCAAGCGUUAUCCGGAAUCAUUGGGUUUAAAGGGUCCGCGGGCGGAUUAAUAAGUCAGUGGUGAAAUCCUCUCGCUCAACGAGAGAACUGCCAUUGAAACUGUUAGUCUUGAAUUCGGUCGAAGUAGGCGGAAUGUGUCAUGUAGCGGUGAAAUGCAUAGAUAUGACACAGAACACCGAUAGCGAAGGCAGCUUACUAGACCUGGAUUGACGCUCAUGGACGAAAGCGUGGGGAGCGAACAGGAUUAGAAACCCCAGUAGUCC
RNAcentral lists this ribosomal RNA (274 nucleotides) under uncultured bacterium. RNAcentral's name for it is "partial 16S ribosomal RNA". It matches the Rfam family "Bacterial small subunit ribosomal RNA", at positions 523 to 796 of the family's 1533-position model. The record is from RNAcentral.